Aphis gossypii (cotton aphid) is the source of this 975-nucleotide long non-coding RNA. RefSeq lists it as uncharacterized. The transcript has 3 exons. Lineage: Eukaryota; Metazoa; Arthropoda; Insecta; Hemiptera; Aphididae. The record is from RefSeq and is a predicted model, not a curated record.
AAAUACACCUUGGAGUAUGUCAAACCACUUAUCUACAAAUCGUAUGAAUUCAGUUGUUGCUUCACUGUUUUCAAACCCAUUGAUUUUUAAGUUUCUACAAAAAUCUAUAGCAUCUGCUACACUGGAACUCAAAGUCUGUGCAGCAAUAUUUACCUUCAUAGGAGACUGCUUCCAUUCCAAAUGCCUUUUUUUUAGUUUGUUACCUGCAUGAAGCCCUUCUGAUUCUUGAAGCAUUACAAGCUUUUCAAUUUUAAGUGCAUGGCAAGGAUCUAUUAAACAAUGAAUGACCUUAGAAGGAUCACUUGGAUGUGGAAAAUGUGUUUUUAAAUGUUGUGAUGACAAAUCUGCUCCCAAAAUAUUAGCCAUUGUGAAAUGGGUAGCUGGUCCAUCAAAUGUCAAAGAAGAAAGUCUGUUUAAAGUUUCUAUCACAAUAUUGGCUUUGUCUUGUCCAUUCAGACCUUUGUGAAAGAAGUAAGCCACUGGAACUUUCCAAUUUGAAUCUAUGGCGACCACCAAGAUUACUAAGACUUGUGUUGCAGCCAUUAAUUUAGGGUCAUUUGUUGUCAAAUCUUUACCAAUACUACUUAAACCAUGAAAAUGUUUACCAUCCCACUCUACCUGUUUCUUAAUAUGCAUCUCAUCUAACAUUAAAGAACAAAAUAACCGUUUACCAUUACGUAUUUAUACUCUUCAUAUUUUGUUUGGAGCGCUAUAAAUGAUUCAGUAGUAAAUCCCUCAUCAACUUUUACUUCAUGAUACCAUGAUCUCAAUGUUGUUCUAUGAGGUAGACUUGAACCAAAUUCAGUUCUCACAAAAUCAUAUGCCUUAGGCGAGUAAAAAUUAAGAGUCAGUGCAAAAGCUCUUAAUGCUGGUGAAAAACUCUUUUGCCUUCUUGUUUUAAAGCGACUAAACAUUUCAGUCAUAGCUGUUGGGAAAGUAUCCUCAAUAUAUGACGAAACUUUUUCGUGGAGAUUA